Cebus imitator (Panamanian white-faced capuchin) is the source of this 264-nucleotide long non-coding RNA. RefSeq lists it as uncharacterized. Lineage: Eukaryota; Metazoa; Chordata; Mammalia; Primates; Cebidae. The transcript has 3 exons. The record is from RefSeq and is a predicted model, not a curated record.
CCCAGGCGUUUCCAUGCUUCUGCUAUCAUCUGAUCUUCACAACAGGGAUUAUUUACGCCCAGCUGUCUCUCAGCAGUUCUUUAACCAAUCUGGGAUAAGGCUUCAACAGUUGAAAACUUGAAGGUUACAACUAUCUGAGGCUGGGUACAGAUAAGUCAUGUGUUCCUUGGACUUGUUCUGUGUACCCAAACAGUCUAGAAUGAAGGUUAAAAAAACAGCUCAUGUUCAUACAUAGAAACAGAAACUGACCUGAAUACCGAAACU